CACAAGGAAGAGCUUUCUCUUAUAAAACGCCUCAACUCUGGAAUAAUCUCCCCGAAUAUGUUCGGGACUCAGACACAGUCUCAAUCUUUAAGUCUAGACUGAAAACUUACUUGUUUAGUUUAGCUUCUGGUAAUUAAUGUUUCUCCCUUUAGAUAAGGCUGCAGAUCCAGGGGUUCAUGGACAGAGGGAAUUGUGGUAAACUGAGAUGCUGGUGCUGUUGUUCUCCCACUGCACACGCUCACUCAGGUUUGUGGACGGUGGAGUGGGUGGAUGCUGGUGUUUCAGGGUGCCUCCAUGUCUAUGUUACCUUCUGGCUCUCUGCCUUUAGUUAGGCUGUUUUAUUCAGUUCUGCCGGAGUCAUUUGCCACACUCUGAUAAUGUUUUAAUAUUCUCAGUUUUGCAUAAAUCCAGUAAAAACUAAUUCCAUCUCUCUGCUUUCCUCCGAGUUACUGACUGCCCACCUGUCUGACCCGAUACCGAUGUUGGACCCUCAGGCUCUCGCGUCUCCUGUCCAGCCAGACUGAUGGAAGUUUCUGAAGUCAGCUCUUCUCCACCACCACCACAGAUCAGCUGCUCAUCGACCAUCUUACUCUCCACUACAGAUUACAUCCAAGCCAUUAGUGGCGCUAUUACACUCCUGAGUACAUAAAACCUAUAUGGAUGUAUAAAAGACUUUUUAAAUUUUAAUUUAAAAGCCGUUUGACCAGUGGUAGGAUGGUCCCCCCUUUAAUGUGAGUCUUGGUCCUCCCAAGGUUUCUUCCUCCUCCUGCAGCUCUGAGGGAGUUUUUCCUUGCCUCCGCGCUCACUGGGGGUUCUGUAUUCUGUAUUUUCUAUGUUUAAUGUUUUGCCUGAUUCUUUGUCCUGUAAUCAUGUUUCUGUAAAGCUGCUUUGUGCCAACACCUGUUGUAAAAAGCGCUAUACAAAUAAAUUUGAUUUGAUUUGA
Long non-coding RNA from Astyanax mexicanus (Mexican tetra), 943 nucleotides. RefSeq lists it as uncharacterized. The transcript is spliced from 2 exons. The record is from RefSeq and is a predicted model, not a curated record. Lineage: Eukaryota; Metazoa; Chordata; Actinopteri; Characiformes; Acestrorhamphidae.